RNAcentral lists this ribosomal RNA (331 nucleotides) under uncultured eukaryote. RNAcentral's name for it is "partial 18S ribosomal RNA". It matches the Rfam family "Eukaryotic small subunit ribosomal RNA", at positions 1470 to 1796 of the family's 1831-position model. The record is from RNAcentral.
CCCUUAGAUGUUCUGGGCCGCACACGCGCUACACUGACUGACUCAACGAGUUUACAACCUGUGCCGAAAGGUAUGGGUAAUCUUUUGAAAUUCAGUCGUGAUGGGGCUAGAUUAUUGCAACUAUUAAUCUUCAACGAGGAAUGCCUAGUAAGCGCGAAUCAUCAGUUCGCGUUGAUUACGUCCCUGCCCUUUGUACACACCGCCCGUCGCUCCUACCGAUUGAAUGGUCCGGUGAAAAUUUCGGACAGUGACGAUGCUGGCGGUCCGCCGCCGGCGCUGUCGCUGGAAGAUCUUUAAACCUUAUCAUUUAGAGGAAGGAGAAGUCGUAACA